RNAcentral lists this ribosomal RNA (957 nucleotides) under uncultured fungus. RNAcentral describes it as "eukaryotic LSU rRNA". The stretch from base 347 to 957 matches the Rfam family "Eukaryotic large subunit ribosomal RNA", at positions 1 to 649 of the family's 3401-position model. Lineage: Eukaryota; Fungi. The record is from RNAcentral.
AAGUCGUAACAAGGUUUCCGUAGGUGAACCUGCGGAAGGAUCAUUAUCAGAGCUUUGCUCAUUCCAUUCUUGUGAAUUUUAUUGUCUCAAAUUAAAACUUUCAACAACGGAUCUCUUGGCUCCGGCGUCGAUGAAGAACGCAGCGAAAUGCGAUACGUGAUGUGAAUUGCAGAAUUGUGAAUCAUCGAAACUUUGAACGCACAUUGCGCCUGUCGGUACUCCGUCAGGCAUGUCUGUUUGAGCGUUGUUAAACUCUCAGUUCUGGUUGUAGAGGAGGCAGCGCCCCUCUGAAAUAUCUCAGCAUUGUGCCACGGCGAAACGUGAAGCGUGCUAUAAUAUGAAUCUCCAACCUCAAAUCAGACAAGAAUACCCGCUGAACUUAAGCAUAUCAAUAAGCGGAGGAAAAGAAACCAACAGGGAUGGCCCUAGUAACGGCGAGCGAAGCGGCCACAGCUCAGAUUUGAAACCGGGCAACCGGAUUGUAAUCUGCAGAGGAGGAUCCGGCAGCGGCUAGACUAAAGUCCUCUGGAAUGGGGUGCCCCAGACGGUGACAGCCCGGUAAAGUCGAUGCCAACGCCAUUCGGGCCUCUCUCAACGAGUCGAGUUGUUUGGGAAUGCAGCUCUAAUUGGGAGGUAAAUUCCUUCUAAGGCUAAAUACCCGCCGGAGACCGAUAGCGAACAAGUAGAGUGAUCGAAAGAUGAAAAGCACUUUGGAAAGAGAGUCAAAUAGCGCGUGAAAUUGUUGAAAGGGAAGCGCUCGUUGUCAGACGUGGUAAUUUGUUCAGCUGUUUUGUUAAGGCAGUGCGCUCAACUUACCAGGCCAGCAUCGGUUUGGGCAGUCGGAUAACAGCGGAGGAACGUUGCUCUUCGGAGCGUUAUAGCCUCCGUCUACACGGCUCGCGCAGACCGAGGUCUUCUGCGUUUUCACAGAUGCUGGCGUAAGGGCACCGAGCGGCC